This 462-nucleotide ribosomal RNA is filed under the name uncultured bacterium. Its description in RNAcentral is "partial 16S ribosomal RNA". It matches the Rfam family "Bacterial small subunit ribosomal RNA", at positions 28 to 507 of the family's 1533-position model. The record is from RNAcentral.
GACGAACGCUGGCGGCGUGCUUAACACAUGCAAGUCGAACGGUGAAGCCCUUCGGGGUGGGUAAGUGGCAAAAGCGUGCGUAACACGUGCGCAACCUGCCCCUGGCUCUGGGACAACCAAUGGAAACGGUGGCUAAUACCGGAUACGACCCGCCGCGGCAUCGAGAGUGGGUGGAGAGUUGUUCGGCUGGGGAUGGGCUCGCGGCCUAUCAGCUUGUUGGUGAGGUGAAGGCUCACCAAGGCGACGACGGGUAGCCGGCCUGAGAGGGCGACCGGCCACACUGGGACUGAGAAACGGCCCAGACUCCUACGGGAGGCAGCAGUGGGGAAUAUUGCACAAUGGGCGAAAGCCUGAUGCAGCGACGCCGCGUGAGGGAUGACGGCCUUCGGGUUGUAAACCGCUCUCAGCUCUGAAGAAGCGAAAGUGACGGUAGGAGCAGAAGAAGCACCGGCUAACUACGUG